GGUGAGUAACGCGUAUGCAACCUACCUUUGGCACGGGGACAGCCCGGGGAAACCCGGAUUAAUACCCGGUAUAGUCUAUUAUACACCUGUAUAAAAGACGAGAGCUACGGCGGCCAAAGAUGGGCAUGCGUGCCAUUAGUUAGUUGGUAGGGUAACGGCCUACCAAGGCAUCGAUGGCUACGGGGUCUAAAAGGAUGAGCCCGCACACUGGUACUGAGACACGGACCAGACUCCUACGGGAGGCAGCAGUGAGGAAUAUUGGUCAAUGGGUGGAAGCCUGAACCAGCCAUGCCGCGUGCAGGAAGACGGCCUUAUGGGUUGUAAACUGCUUUUCUACGGGACGAACGGCUCUGACGUGUCAGAGAUUGACGGUACCGUAGGAAUAAGCAUCGGCUAACUCCGUGCCAGCAGCCGCGGUAAUACGGAGGAUGCGAGCGUUAUCCGGAUUUAUUAGGUUUAAAGGGUGCGUAGGCUGGGCAAUAAGUCAGUGGUGAAAGUCCGCGGCUCAACCGUGGGAUUGCCAUUGAAACUGUUGUUCUUGAGUACAGUCGAGGUAGGCGGAAUGUGUAAUGUAGCGGUGAAAUGCAUAGAUAUUACCCAGAACACCGAUUGCGUAGGCAGCUUACCAGCCUGGAACUGACGCUGAUGCACGAAAGCGUGGGGAGCGAACAGGAUUAGAUACCCUGGUAGUCCACGCCGUAAACGAUGAUCACUCGCUGUUGGCAAUAUAGAGUCAGCGGCUGAGCGAAAGCAUUAAGUGAUCCACCUGGGGAGUACGUCGGCAACGAUGAAACUCAAAGGAAUUGACGGGGGCCCGCACAAGCGGUGGAACAUGUGGUUUAAUUCGAUGAUACGCGAGGAACCUUACCUGGGCUUAAAUGUAGCCGGACGAUUCCGGAAACGGGAUUUCCUUAACGGCUGGUUACAAGGUGCUGCAUGGCUGUCGUCAGCUCGUGCCGUGAGGUGUCGGGUUAAGUCCCAUAAUGAGCGCAACCAUUAUUGUUAUUUGCCAGCGGGUAGAGCCGAGGACUCUAAGGAGACU
RNAcentral lists this ribosomal RNA (1042 nucleotides) under uncultured organism. Its description in RNAcentral is "bacterial SSU rRNA". It matches the Rfam family "Bacterial small subunit ribosomal RNA", at positions 105 to 1150 of the family's 1533-position model. The record is from RNAcentral.